RNAcentral lists this ribosomal RNA (371 nucleotides) under uncultured Bacteroidota bacterium. Its description in RNAcentral is "bacterial SSU rRNA". It matches the Rfam family "Bacterial small subunit ribosomal RNA", at positions 523 to 862 of the family's 1533-position model. The record is from RNAcentral. Lineage: Bacteria; Pseudomonadati; Bacteroidota.
AUACGGAGGAUCCAAGCGUUAUCCGGAUUCAUUGGGUUUAAAGGGUCCGUAGGCGGAUUUUUAAGUCAGUGGUGAAAGCCGACAGCUCAACUGUCGAACUGCCAUUGAUACUGGAAAUCUUGAGUACAAAUGAAGUAGGCGGAAUGAGUCAUGUAGCGGUGAAAUGCAUAGAUAUGACUCAGAACACCGAUUGCGAAGGCAGCUUACUAACAUGUAACUGACGCUGAGGGACGAAAGCGUGGGGAGCGAACAGGAUUAGAUACCCUGGUAGUCCACGCCGUAAACGAUGUGUGUUAGACGUUGGAAACAGGCCUUCUCUUCGGAGCAGAUUACAAGGUGCUGCAUGGUUGUCGUCAGCUCGUGCCGGUAUA